Molecule: ribosomal RNA, 460 nt
Filed under: uncultured bacterium
Lineage: Bacteria
Description: partial 16S ribosomal RNA
Rfam family: Bacterial small subunit ribosomal RNA
Source: RNAcentral
CCUACGGGGGGCAGCAGUGAGGAAUAUUGGUCAAUGGCCGUAAGGCUGAACCAGCCAAGUCGCGUGAAGGAAGAAGGAUCUAUGGUUUGUAAACUUCGUUUAUAGGGGAAUAAAGGUAUCCACGUGUGGAUAUUUGCAUGUACCCUAUGAAUAAGCAUCGGCUAACUCCGUGCCAGCAGCCGCGGUAAUACGGAGGAUGCGAGCGUUAUCCGGAUUUAUUGGGUUUAAAGGGUGCGUAGGUUGUUUUUUAAGUCAGCGGGGAAAGUUUGUGGCUCAACCAUAAAAUUGCCGUUGAAACUGGAAGACUUGAGUGUGUUUGAGGUAGGCGGAAUGCGUGGUGUAGCGGUGAAAUGCACAGAUAUCACGAAGAACUCCGAUUGCGAAGGCAGCUUACUAAGCCAUAACUGACACUGAGGCACGAAAGCGUGGGGAUCAAACAGGAUUAGAUACCCGGGUAGUC